RNAcentral lists this ribosomal RNA (492 nucleotides) under uncultured bacterium. RNAcentral describes it as "partial 16S ribosomal RNA". It matches the Rfam family "Bacterial small subunit ribosomal RNA", at positions 29 to 507 of the family's 1533-position model. The record is from RNAcentral.
AGUGAACGCUGGCGGUAGGCCUAACACAUGCAAGUCGAACGGUAGCACAGUAAGCGCUUGCUCUUAAGGGUGGCGAGUGGCGGACGGGUGCGGACUACUUCGGAAUCUACUUUUUCGUGGGGGAUAACGUAGGGAAACUUACGCUAAUACCGCAUACGACCUACGGGUGACAGCAGGUUCUCUUCGGACCUUGCGCGAUUGAAUGAGCCGAUGUCGGAUUCGCUAGUUGGCGGGGUAAAGGCCCACCAAGGCGACGCUCCGUAGCUGGGCUGAGUGGCUGGUCAGCCACACUGGAACUGAGACACAGUCCAGACUCCUACGGGAGGCAGCAGUGGGGAAUAUUGGACAAGGGGCGCAAGCCUGAUCCAGCCAUACCGCGUGAGUUAAGAAGGCCUUCGGGUUGUAAAGCCCUGUUGUUGGGAAAGAAAAGCAGCAGUUUAAUACGCCGCGGUUCUGACGGUACCCAAAGAAUAAGCACCGGCUAACUUCGUG